CGCGGGGUGGAGCAGCUCGGUAGCUCGCUGGGCUCAUAACCCAGAGGUCGCAGGUUCAAAUCCUGCCCCCGCUACC
Molecule: transfer RNA, 76 nt
Filed under: Sphaerisporangium melleum
Lineage: Bacteria; Bacillati; Actinomycetota; Actinomycetes; Streptosporangiales; Streptosporangiaceae
Description: tRNA-Met
Rfam family: tRNA
About the family: Transfer RNA (tRNA) molecules are approximately 80 nucleotides in length. Their secondary structure includes four short double-helical elements and three loops (D, anti-codon, and T loops).
Source: RNAcentral